Molecule: ribosomal RNA, 253 nt
Filed under: uncultured bacterium
Lineage: Bacteria
Description: partial 16S ribosomal RNA
Rfam family: Bacterial small subunit ribosomal RNA
Source: RNAcentral
UACGUAGGGUCCAAGCGUUAUCCGGAAUCACUGGGCGUAAAGCGCACGUAGGCGGUCUGUUAUGUCGGAUGUGAAAGCCCUUGGCUUAACUGAGGAAGUGCAUCCGAAACUGGCAGGCUAGAGUACUAAAGAGGGUCGCGGAAUUCCCGGUGUAGAGGUGAAAUUCGUAGAUAUCGGGAGGAACACCGGUGGCGAAGGCGGCGACCUGGGUAGAUACUGACGCUGAGGUGCGAAAGCGUGGGGAGCAAACAGG